GAUCACACUAGCAAAAUCAAGCCUGAAUAUAACUUUUUUCUCUUCAGAUGUGCCAUCAUUAACUCUGGAGGACCUGGAAAAUUAGAAUCUGUUAGAUGUGGGAGAGUGAGAGGAAGAUAUGUGAUUGUCAGCACUCCAGGCCUUGUUCUCCUCUGAACUAAAACAUGCAUUCAUGGGCCAAACCAGAAACGGAUUUGAGUAAUAUGACAACUAAGCUCUCCAUUUCAAAGCUUGGCAGUAUCCCUGGGAAUGGAAUACCUCCAACAUGGCUCUUCAGCACCAGUCUGGACGCAGACCCACGCACCUUCCGUAAUCCCCACAAAUUAGGGGAGCUGUGUACGGCAGAGACCUGACUGAAGGAUAAGGAAAAGCUACCCAGUUUUAUCAAUUGUAUUCUAGUAGAAUACAAUUAUCACAAAAGCGGACGUUUGUUCACUCAUGCUCUAGCUCCGGUGCUGAAAACAGCUGAGAGAACGCUCAGUGAAUAUCAGUUGUAUGGAUAAAAUACGGC
Molecule: long non-coding RNA, 511 nt
Filed under: Suricata suricatta (meerkat)
Lineage: Eukaryota; Metazoa; Chordata; Mammalia; Carnivora; Herpestidae
Description: lncRNA (ENSSSUG00005007589.1)
Source: RNAcentral